Molecule: transfer RNA, 71 nt
Filed under: Ictidomys tridecemlineatus (thirteen-lined ground squirrel)
Lineage: Eukaryota; Metazoa; Chordata; Mammalia; Rodentia; Sciuridae
Description: Spermophilus tridecemlineatus (thirteen-lined ground squirrel) tRNA
Rfam family: tRNA
About the family: Transfer RNA (tRNA) molecules are approximately 80 nucleotides in length. Their secondary structure includes four short double-helical elements and three loops (D, anti-codon, and T loops).
Source: Rfam by way of RNAcentral
GGAGAUGUGGCUCAGUGGUAGAGUGCUUGCCUCACAUGCAGGAGGCCCUAGGUUCAAUCCACAGCACUCCU